CGCGGCCUAUCAGCUUGUUGGCGGGGUAACGGCCCACCAAGGCGACGACGGGUAGCCGGCCUGAGAGGGUGACCGGCCACACUGGGACUGAGACACGGCCCAGACUCCUACGGGAGGCAGCAGUGGGGAAUAUUGCACAAUGGGCGAAAGCCUGAUGCAGCGACGCCGCGUGAGGGAUGACGGCCUUCGGGUUGUAAACCUCUUUCAGUAGGGAAGAAGCGAAAGUGACGGUACCUGCAGAAGAAGCGCCGGCUAACUACGUGCCAGCAGCCGCGGUAAUACGUAGGGCGCAAGCGUUAUCCGGAAUUAUUGGGCGUAAAGAGCUCGUAGGCGGUUUGUCGCGUCUGUCGUGAAAGUCCGGGGCUCAACCCCGGAUCUGCGGUGGGUACGGGCAGACUAGAGUGAUGUAGGGGAGACUGGAAUUCCUGGUGUAGCGGUGAAAUGCGCAGAUAUCAGGAGGAACACCGAUGGCGAAGGCAGGUCUCUGGGCAUUAACUGACGCUGAGGAGCGAAAGCAUGGGGAGCGAACAGGAUUAGAUACCCUGGUAGUCCAUGCCGUAAACGUUGGGCACUAGGUGUGGGGGACAUUCCACGUUUUCCGCGCCGUAGCUAACGCAUUAAGUGCCCCGCCUGGGGAGUACGG
RNAcentral lists this ribosomal RNA (643 nucleotides) under uncultured bacterium. RNAcentral's name for it is "bacterial SSU rRNA". It matches the Rfam family "Bacterial small subunit ribosomal RNA", at positions 232 to 885 of the family's 1533-position model. The record is from RNAcentral.